GACGAACGCUGGCGGCGUGCUUAACACAUGCGAGUCGAACGGAAAGGCGCUGCUUGUGUGUGGUGCUCGAGUGGCGAACGGGUGAGUAACACGGGAGUAACCUUGCCUGUGCGUGGGGAUAACUGCAGGAAACUGGGGCUAAUACCUGAUAGGAGCGCCUGCUGCAUGGGGGUGGUUGGAAAGUUUCGGUUGUGGGGGCUGGAGUCGGGGGUUGUCAGCUUGUUGGUGGGGGAGUGGCUUACGAAGGCUUUGGCGGGUGGCCGGCCUGAGAGGGUGAACGGGCACAUUGGGCCUGCGAGACGGCCCAGAGUCCUACGGGGGGCAGCAGUGGGAAAUAUUGCCCAAUGGGCGGGAGCGUGAUGAAGAAACGCCGCGUGCGGGAUGAAGGCCUUCGGGUUGUAAACCGCUUUCGCCUGUGACGAAGCGUGAGUGACGUUAAUGGCUAAAGAAGCACCGGCUAACUACGUG
RNAcentral lists this ribosomal RNA (468 nucleotides) under uncultured bacterium. Its description in RNAcentral is "partial 16S ribosomal RNA". It matches the Rfam family "Bacterial small subunit ribosomal RNA", at positions 28 to 507 of the family's 1533-position model. The record is from RNAcentral.